GGGUGAGUAACACGUGGAUAACCUACCUAUAAGACUGGGAUAACUUCGGGAAACCGUAGCUAAUACUGGAUAAUAUUUUGAACCGCAUGGUUCAAAAGUGAAAGACGGUCUUGCUGUCACUUAUAGAUGGAUCCGCGCUGCAUUAGCUAGUUGGUAAGGUAACGGCUUACCAAGGCAACGAUGCAUAGCCGACCUGAGAGGGUGAUCGGCCACACUGGAACUGAGACACGGUCCAG
RNAcentral lists this ribosomal RNA (236 nucleotides) under uncultured Staphylococcus sp. Its description in RNAcentral is "partial 16S ribosomal RNA". It matches the Rfam family "Bacterial small subunit ribosomal RNA", at positions 104 to 334 of the family's 1533-position model. The record is from RNAcentral. Lineage: Bacteria; Bacillati; Bacillota; Bacilli; Caryophanales; Staphylococcaceae.